AAUAAACCCUCCCACGUGUGGGAGCUUGUAUGUACCUUAUGAAUAAGCAUCGGCUAACUCCGUGCCAGCAGCCGCGGUAAUACGGAGGAUGCGAGCGUUAUCCGGAUUUAUUGGGUUUAAAGGGAGCGCAGACGGGUCGUUAAGUCAGCUGUGAAAGUUUGGGGCUCAACCUUAAAAUUGCAGUUGAUACUGGCGUCCUUGAGUGCGGUUGAGGUGUGCGGAAUUCGUGGUGUAGCGGUGAAAUGCUUAGAUAUCACGAAGAACUCCGAUUGCGAAGGCAGCACACUAAUCCGUAACUGACGUUCAUGCUCGAAAGUGUGGGUAUCAAACAGGAUUAGAUACCCUGGUAGUCCACACGGUAAACGAUGGAUACUCGCUGUUGGCGAUAUACUGUCAGCGGCUUAGCGAAAGCGUUAAGUAUCCCACCUGGGGAGUACGCCGGCAACGGUGCAACU
Molecule: ribosomal RNA, 455 nt
Filed under: uncultured Bacteroidota bacterium
Lineage: Bacteria; Pseudomonadati; Bacteroidota
Description: bacterial SSU rRNA
Rfam family: Bacterial small subunit ribosomal RNA
Source: RNAcentral